Molecule: non-coding RNA, 29 nt
Filed under: Mus musculus (house mouse)
Lineage: Eukaryota; Metazoa; Chordata; Mammalia; Rodentia; Muridae
Source: RNAcentral
UACUCUGGAACAAAAAGGUGUUAGUUUGC